GACGAACGCUGGCGGCGUGCCUAACACAUGCAAGUUGAGCGACGAACCAGGGCUUGCCCUGGGGCAAAGCAGCGAACGGGUGAGUAACACGUGGGUAACCUACCCCGCUAACCGGGACAACCCGAGGAAACUCGGGCUAAUACCGGAUGUGCUCACUGGACUUCGGUUCAGUGCGUAAAGGAAGCUUCGGCCUCCGUAUCGGGAGGGGCCCGCGGCCCAUUAGUUAGUUGGUGAGGUAACGGCUUACCAAGACCGCGAUGGGUAGCUGGUCUGAGAGGACGAUCAGCCACACUGGGACUGAGACACGGCCCAGACUCCUACGGGAGGCAGCAGUGGGGAAUCUUGCGCAAUGCGCGAAAGCGUGACGCAGCAACGCCGCGUGGGGGAAGAAGGCCUUCGGGUUGUAAACCCCUUUCAGGAGGGACGAAGGUUCGGCGGUGAAUAGCCGCCCGGACUGACGGUACCUCCACAAGAAGCCCCGGCUAACUACGUG
RNAcentral lists this ribosomal RNA (493 nucleotides) under uncultured bacterium. Its description in RNAcentral is "partial 16S ribosomal RNA". It matches the Rfam family "Bacterial small subunit ribosomal RNA", at positions 28 to 507 of the family's 1533-position model. The record is from RNAcentral.